AAACCAUGUUGUGGGCAUGAAUUGACAAGAUCCUUGAACUGCUCCCAACAUUGGAAAAAUGUUUCAUCUUCCUUUUAGGCGAAGUUCAAGAUCAACUUUCUAAGGGU
This is a small nucleolar RNA of Magnolia sinica, 107 nucleotides long. The record is from RefSeq and is a predicted model, not a curated record. NCBI's taxonomy places the organism in Eukaryota, Viridiplantae, Streptophyta, Magnoliopsida, Magnoliales, Magnoliaceae.